RNAcentral lists this ribosomal RNA (253 nucleotides) under uncultured bacterium. RNAcentral describes it as "partial 16S ribosomal RNA". It matches the Rfam family "Bacterial small subunit ribosomal RNA", at positions 524 to 776 of the family's 1533-position model. The record is from RNAcentral.
GACGUAGGUGGCUAGCGUUGUCCGGAAUUAUUGGGUGUAAAAAGCUCGUAGGCGGUCUGACGGGUUAGAGGCAAAAUUUUCUGACUCAAUCAGAAAAAGAUUUCUAAAACUAUCAGGCUAGAGAGUGGGAGAGGAAAGCGGAAUUUCUGGUGUAGCGGUGAAAUGUGUAGAUAUCAGGAGGAACACCUGUGGCGCAGGCGGCUUUCUAUUCUACCUCUGACGCUGAGGAGCGAAAGCUAGGGGAGCAAACGGG